This 165-nucleotide ribosomal RNA is filed under the name Millepora sp. EMF02. RNAcentral describes it as "5.8S ribosomal RNA". It matches the Rfam family "5.8S ribosomal RNA". Rfam says of the family: 5.8S ribosomal RNA (5.8S rRNA) is a component of the large subunit of the eukaryotic ribosome. It is transcribed by RNA polymerase I as part of the 45S precursor that also contains 18S and 28S rRNA. Lineage: Eukaryota; Metazoa; Cnidaria; Hydrozoa; Anthoathecata; Milleporidae. The record is from RNAcentral.
CAACUUUUAACGGUGGAUUUUUGGCUCGCGCAUCGAUGAAGAACGUAUCCAGUUGCGAUACGUAUGUGAAUUGCAGAAUUCAGCGAAUUAUCGAAUCUUUUGAACGCCAUAUUCGCCGCUUGUUUAUAUAUCCCACGCGACCGUUGUACCUUUGUUCACAAUCCU